RNAcentral lists this non-coding RNA (30 nucleotides) under Homo sapiens (human). Lineage: Eukaryota; Metazoa; Chordata; Mammalia; Primates; Hominidae. The record is from RNAcentral.
UGCACCCUCAUUGUGGAAAAGCUGCAGGUA